Molecule: ribosomal RNA, 425 nt
Filed under: uncultured bacterium
Lineage: Bacteria
Description: bacterial SSU rRNA
Rfam family: Bacterial small subunit ribosomal RNA
Source: RNAcentral
GUGGGGAAUAUUGGACAAUGGGCGCAAGCCUGAUCCAGCCAUGCCACGUGAGUGAUGAAGGCCCUAGGGUUGUAAAGCUCUUUCACCGGUGAAGAUAAUGACGGUAACCGGAGAAGAAGCCCCGGCUAACUUCGUGCCAGCAGCCGCGGUAAUACGAAGGGGGCUAGCGUUGUUCGGAAUUACUGGGCGUAAAGCGCACGUAGGCGGACAUUUAAGUCAGGGGUGAAAUCCCGGGGCUCAACCCCGGAACUGCCUUUGAUACUGGGUGUCUGGAGUAUGGAAGAGGUAAGUGGAAUUCCGAGUGUAGAGGUGAAAUUCGUAGAUAUUCGGAGGAACACCAGUGGCGAAGGCGGCUCACUGGCUCGAUACUGACGCUGAGGUGCGAAAGCGUGGGGAGCAAACAGGAUUAGAAACCCUUGUAGUCC